Non-coding RNA from Macaca mulatta (Rhesus monkey), 492 nucleotides. The record is from RefSeq and is a predicted model, not a curated record. Lineage: Eukaryota; Metazoa; Chordata; Mammalia; Primates; Cercopithecidae.
CUGGGAGGCCUCAGGAAACUUACAAUCAUGGCGAAAGUCAAAGGCGAAGCAGAUUAACUUGGAGAACACCUAUACAUUUGGAAGAUGAAUCUUCUCAUGCAGGAUAUGAGGAGAUCUUUCAAACAGGAGUGGGACAAACCUUCUCAAGCAAAUCACGAAGAAAACGGAACUCAAACAAAAUCGCGGGGGAGAAGAGGCCACCUGCAGAUGCAGCAGGGUUCAAAAGGCUCCACUGUGGGUACCUCACGCCGCUGUUCCAAGAACCAGUAAUUCUUCCUGAGUGACUCCCCUUGGCUGAUUUCAACAUGGAUUUCAAUAUGGAAGCGGAGCUUAAUGAAAUCAGGGUGAUGCCGUCUGUGGAGUUAGCACCCCCAGGACACAGAGCAUGGAAGGAAGGGCAGACAACAGAUCUGAGAACACAGAAUAACCAGCAAGUGCACAACUUUCUCAUAAAUCCACUGGAUUAAAUUUGUUAUUUAAGCUGUUCAGUUA